This 188-nucleotide ribosomal RNA is filed under the name uncultured Sphingobacteriales bacterium. RNAcentral describes it as "partial 16S ribosomal RNA". It matches the Rfam family "Bacterial small subunit ribosomal RNA", at positions 1197 to 1382 of the family's 1533-position model. Lineage: Bacteria; Pseudomonadati; Bacteroidota; Sphingobacteriia; Sphingobacteriales. The record is from RNAcentral.
GGCCCUUAUGUCCAGGGCUACACACGUGUUACAAUGGCCGGUACAGAGGGCAGCUACCUGGAGACAGGAUGCGAAUCUCGAAAGCCGGUCUCAGUUCGGAUCGGAGUCUGCAACUCGACUCCGUGAAGCUGGAUUCGCUAGUAAUCGCGCAUCAGCCAUGGCGCGGUGAAUACCGGUUCCCGGGCCUU